Molecule: ribosomal RNA, 253 nt
Filed under: uncultured bacterium
Lineage: Bacteria
Description: partial 16S ribosomal RNA
Rfam family: Bacterial small subunit ribosomal RNA
Source: RNAcentral
UACAGAGGUCUCAAGCGUUGUUCGGAAUUACUGGGCGUAAAGGGUGCGUAGGCUGCGCAGAAAGUCAGGUGUGAAAUCCAGGAGCUCAACUUCUGAAUUGCACCCGAUACUCCUGUGCUAGAGGACUGGAGAGGAGCUUGGAAUUCUCGGUGUAGCAGUGAAAUGCGUAGAGAUCGAGAGGAACACUAGUGGCGAAGGCGGCCGGCUGGGGGUGCCCUGACGCUGAGGCGCGAAAGCGUGGGGAGCGAACAGG